This 380-nucleotide ribosomal RNA is filed under the name uncultured eukaryote. Its description in RNAcentral is "partial 18S ribosomal RNA". It matches the Rfam family "Eukaryotic small subunit ribosomal RNA", at positions 592 to 976 of the family's 1831-position model. The record is from RNAcentral.
CAAUAGCGUAUAUUAAUGUUGUUGCAGUUAAAAAGCUCGUAGUUGGAUUUCUGGUGGGAGCGGCCGGUCCGCCGUAAGGUGUGUACUUGGUUGUCUCCUGUCAUCCUUGUGGGAACUGCUCUGGCAUUAAGUUGUCGGGGUUAGGGAACACAUCGUUUACUGUGAAAAAAUUAGAGUGUUUAAAGCAGGCUUAUGCCGUUGAAUACAUUAGCAUGGAAUAAUAAGAUAUGACUUUGGCGUCUAUUUUGUUGGUUUGCACACCAAGGUAAUGAUUAAUAGGGAUAGUUGGGGGUAUUCGUAUUUAAUUGUCAGAGGUGAAAUUCUUGGAUUUAUGAAAGACGAACUUCUGCGAAAGCAUUUACCAAAGAUGUUUUCAUUAA